This 1419-nucleotide ribosomal RNA is filed under the name uncultured bacterium. Its description in RNAcentral is "bacterial SSU rRNA". It matches the Rfam family "Bacterial small subunit ribosomal RNA". The record is from RNAcentral.
CAGAGAUGAACGUUGGCGGCGUGGAUUAGGCAUGCAAGUCGUACGCUCCGCAAGGGGCGUGGCGCAAGGGUGAGUAAGGCGACGGCAACCAACCCCGCGGCCGGGCAUAGCCACUCGAAAGGGUGGGUAAUUCCCGGCGGUAUCCAGGAGACCGGCAUCGGUUUCUUGGGAAAGGUGAGACUCCGCCGUGGGACGGACCGUCGUGGUAUCAGCUUGUUGGCGGGGUAAUGGCCCACCAAGGCGAUGACGCCUACCGGGCGUGCGAGCGUGGCCCGGCACACUGGGACUGAGACACUGCCCAGACUCCUACGGGAGGCUGCAACAGCGAGAAUCUUCGGCAAUGGGCGCAAGCCUGACCGAGCGACGCCGCGUGGAGGACGAAGGCCUUCGGGUUGUAAACUCCUGUCGAGGGGGAACAAGGGGCCGUGCAGAGCGGUCCUUGAGUGAUUAGUGGAGGAAGCACGGGCUAAGUUCGUGCCAGCAGCCGCGGUAAGACGAACCGUGCGAACGUUAUUCGGAAUCACUGGGCUUAAAGCGCGUGUAGGCGGCCCGGCACGUCCGUCGCUGAAAUCCCCCGGCUCAACCGGGGAAGUGGCGUGGAUACGACCGGGCUGGAGGGGGGUAGGGAGCGCCGGAACUUACCGGUGGAGCGUCCGAAAUGCGUUGAGAUCGGAAGGAACGCCCGUGGCGAAAGCGGGCUCCUGGACCCCACCUGACGCUGAGACGCGAAAGCCAGGGGAGCGAACGGGAUUAGAUACCCCGGUAUCUCCUGGCCGUAAACCAUGAGCACGGGGUAGAGGGCUCGCCGAUGGGCUCUCUGCCGUAGUAGAACCGUGAAGUGCUCCGCCUGGGGAGUAUGGUCGCAAGGCUGAAUUCCUCAAAGGAACCUGACGGGGGCUCACACAAGCGGUGGAGCAUGUGGCUUAAUUCGAGGCUACGCGCAAAACCUUAUCCUGGGCUUGACAUGCACGGAUUAGCUGGCGGAAACGUCAGUGAGGCCGCUACCGGUACAACGUGCACAGGUGCCAGCAUGGCUGUCGUCAGCUCGUGUCGUGUACCUGUUGGCCUAAGUCCCGUAACGAGCGAAACCCUUGCCUCUAGUUGCCAGCGGGUCAUGCCGGGAACUCUAGAGGGACCGCCGGCGUACUAAGUACGGAGGAAGGCGGGGAUGACGUCAAGUCCUCAUGGCCCUUAUUAUAGGGCUGCUCACGUGCUACAAUGGGACGGACAAAGCGUCGCGACAGUCAAGGUCUGGCUAAUCGCAAAUUACCGUCCCUCAGUUCGGAUUGUGGGCUGCAACCCGCCCACAUGAAGCUGGUACCGCUAGUACCCGCGGAUCAGCAUGCCGCGGUGAAUGGGUUCCUGAGCCUUGUUACCCCGCCCGUCAAGCCACCAUGCGGCGGCAAUUGAAGUCUAUCC